Molecule: ribosomal RNA, 217 nt
Filed under: Glomeromycotina sp.
Lineage: Eukaryota; Fungi; Glomeromycota
Description: partial small subunit ribosomal RNA
Rfam family: Eukaryotic small subunit ribosomal RNA (bases 41-217)
Source: RNAcentral
GGGGUCAGUAGGUUGGUCGUGCCACCGGUACGUACUGGUCUCACUGAUUCCUCCUUCCUGAAGAACCGUAAUGCCAUUAAUUUGGUGUUGCGGGGAAACAGGACUGUUACUUUGAAAAAAUUAGAGUGUUUAAGGCAAGCUAACGCUUGAAUACAUUAGCAUGGAAUAAUGAAAUAGGACGAUCGAUCCUAUUUUGUUGGUUUCUAGGAUUGACGUA